GUGCCAGCAGCCGCGGUAAUACGGGAGUGGCAAGCGUUAUCCGGAAUUAUUGGGCGUAAAGCGUCCGCAGGCGGCCCUUCAAGUCUGCUGUUAAAAAGUGGAGCUUAACUCCAUCAUGGCAGUGGAAACUGUUGGGCUUGAGUGUGGUAGGGGCAGAGGGAAUUCCCGGUGUAGCGGUGAAAUGCGUAGAUAUCGGGAAGAACACCAGUGGCGAAGGCGCUCUGCUGGGCCAUCACUGACGCUCAUGGACGAAAGCCAGGGGAGCGAAAGGGAUUAGAUACCCCUGUAGUCCUGGCCGUAAACGAUGAACACUAGGUGUCGGGGGAAUCGACCCCCUCGGUGUCGUAGCCAACGCGUUAAGUGUUCCGCCUGGGGAGUACGCACGCAAGUGUGAAACUCAAAGGAAUUGACGGGGGCCCGCACAAGCGGUGGAGUAUGUGGUUUAAUUCGAUGCAACGCGAAGAACCUUACCAGGGUUUGACAUGAUACGAAUUUCUUUGAAAAAAGAAAGUGCCGUUUGGAACGUAUACACAGGUGGUGCAUGGC
This 546-nucleotide ribosomal RNA is filed under the name uncultured dinoflagellate. RNAcentral's name for it is "bacterial SSU rRNA". It matches the Rfam family "Bacterial small subunit ribosomal RNA", at positions 505 to 1049 of the family's 1533-position model. Lineage: Eukaryota; Dinophyceae. The record is from RNAcentral.